RNAcentral lists this ribosomal RNA (482 nucleotides) under uncultured bacterium. Its description in RNAcentral is "partial 16S ribosomal RNA". It matches the Rfam family "Bacterial small subunit ribosomal RNA", at positions 30 to 507 of the family's 1533-position model. The record is from RNAcentral.
AUUGAACGCUGGCGGCAUGCUUUACACAUGCAAGUCGAACGGUAACAGGCCGCAAGGUGCUGACGAGUGGCGAACGGGUGAGUAAUGCAUCGGAACGUGCCCAGUCGUGGGGGAUAACUACUCGAAAGAGUAGCUAAUACCGCAUACGAUCUAUGGAUGAAAGCGGGGGACCGUAGGGCCUCGCGCGAUUGGAGCGGCCGAUGUCAGAUUAGGUAGUUGGUGGGGUAAAGGCUCACCAAGCCAACGAUCUGUAGCUGGUCUGAGAGGACGACCAGCCACACCGGGACUGAGACACGGCCCAGACUCCUACGGGAGGCAGCAGUGGGGAAUUUUGGACAAAGGGCGCAAGCCUGAUCCAGCAAUGCCGCGUGCAGGAAGAAGGCCUUCGGGUUGUAAACUGCUUUUGUACGGAACGAAACGGCUCUGGUUAAUACCCGGGGCUAAUGACGGUACCGUAAGAAUAAGCACCGGCUAACUACGUG